RNAcentral lists this ribosomal RNA (253 nucleotides) under uncultured bacterium. Its description in RNAcentral is "partial 16S ribosomal RNA". It matches the Rfam family "Bacterial small subunit ribosomal RNA", at positions 524 to 776 of the family's 1533-position model. The record is from RNAcentral.
UACGAGGGGGGCGAGCGUUGUUCGGAAUUAUUGGGCGUAAAGGGCGCGUAGGCGGUUUGGUAAGUCUGAUGUGAAAUCUAUGGGCUCAACUCAUAGUCUGCAUCGGAAACUGCCGGGCUUGAGUGUGGGAGAGGUGAGUGGAAUUCCUGGUGUAGCGGUGAAAUGCGUAGAUAUCAGGAGGAACACCUGUGGCGAAAGCGGCUCACUGGACCAUAACUGACGCUGAUGCACGAAAGCUAGGGGAGCAAACAGG